AUUUUGCAAAAAUUUCAAUGCUUACCUACUAUGGCUUGUGUUCCUGUUCUCAAGACUCGUCAACAAUCAUUUUAUUAAAUACAAGAUAAAUAGCAAGUAUUUUGCUUUUUAAUUAGGCAUUGAGAACAACUACAGUUGAACCAAAGACACUAGCAUAAUUAUUAUUCUAGUGUCUUUGGUUGAACAAUAUUAUCUCGUUUUAAAUUAUCGUAUUCCCAUGGAUAACAUCUAAACGCGCAAGCAGCAAAAAAGGCCAAAGUAAUUUCAUGAUAAGGUGCAUUUUGGAACUGAAAAUGAUGUUGAACUCUUGCUCUUUUAUAUAAGAGCUAGGAUUGGAGCAACACCAAGUAGAUAAGAGAUGGAUUUAAUGGGCUUGGUAAGGUACUUGGCAGCUGAGACAAUGUGAUUAGCUAUAGUUCCGCACCAUUGUAAAAUUCAAAAGCGCUAGAGGGCGCUGUCGACAAUUUAUGUAAUUAUUAUAUGUGUGGUCGCGUCUAUGGUUGCUAACAUUUGCCAACAAUGGGCUUGUGGCAUGUAAAACAACUACAGUUAAUUUGGAUAUGGAUAUGGAUAUGGAGGCAUACAUCCCCAGCUGCAGGCAGAAGAUAAUGCCAAAAGGACAAACUAAGGGAGAUAGAAUUGCCAGGUGGCAAAGUCAGAAGUUUGACCAUUUGAUGUGCUAGAAACAACAGCAAAUAAUGCCCACAGGACAACCUAAGGGAGAUUUAAUUUUAGCGUAAGACACUUUUUCACAUACUAGCUUACUCAGCAGUAAUUUCACGACGAGCUGCAUUUUGGAACUGAAAAUGAUUUUGAAUACUUUCCCUUUUAUAUAAGACCUAGAUUAAGGCUACUUCUUGAUAAGAGAUAGAUUUAAUUAAGCUGUGGAAGUCCCUGGUCCUAAAACCGAAGCAUUGAUGGCAGUUUUUUAUAUAAUAUAAUUUUAAUGGCUUUAAAACGUAGGAACUAACAGAGGCAACGAACAUAACAUGAAUACAUAACAACAAUGAUGAACUACAAUUUUGAAUAAUAAUUUAGAUUAGUUAAUAGCAAAGGUCUCCUGGACGACGCCUCCUCAGUCUUCGACCAGUGAACGACCGCUACGUGGUUGAAAUUCUAUGUAGUAAUUAAAUAAUAUGUUCCGUGAACAUUUCAUGAUAUCAAAACUAAUCGUAUGUGUUGUCAGUGAUUGCUAGCAUUUGAUUUUUAUAAAUAAAAGACAAUUUACAGGUCAAAAGUAUUUAACUUUUUAAUUAUGCAUCAAGAACAACAACAGUGUAACUUUAACGGGAAUUCCAUAGAGAAAGGGGAUAGCUGUUACGCGGUAUCCGAUAAUCGGAAUCUUCUUCAGGAAAAAAUGUCCCAGAAGCAACAGCAAAUAAUGCCAUAAGGACAAUCUAAGGGAGAUGGAAUGUUAGCGUAAGAUACUUUUUCACUGACUAGCUAACUCACCAGUAAUUUCACGACGAGCUGCAUUUUGAAACUGAAAGUUAUUUUGAAAUCUUGCUCUUUUAUAUUAGAGCUGGAUUAUAGAUUUAUAGAUAAGAGAUCGAUUUAAUGAAACUAUAUAAAUUAAUGGUCUUAAACCAGAGGCAAUGAAUUUUAUAUUCCUGUCUACACAAUUUAAUGAUUAUGUCAAAUAUUUCCAGGAAAAAUAUUUAUAUAUUUUGAUUCAAUGGUUCAACAUCAAAAUGCUCUUAAAACUAAUAAAUAUGAAUGUACAUAUAAACGUUUGGUCUAAAAAUUAAACUUUUAAUGAUUACUUGGGUACAUGUGAUGCAUCCAAUCCUGGUUGUCAAGGUGCUUGCUUUACGUGGAAUUGUCACAAUGGUUAGAACCCACUUGUUUGUCCGCCUCCAUCCUGGCCAACAAGCGGUAGACAGACUAGCCUUGCCUGAGGAGUAUUUUUCGACAUUGGGCGGUUGUGGCAAAGGUAACAGCUCUCAAAAUCAAAUGCGGAUGCCAGAGAGUCAGCGCCGUGACUCCUCUUGAUCCUGAACUCCGAUAAUUCGGAUGUGGGUUGAAGGGAAUAAUGGUAAAUAGAACUCUACGCCCAUUACCAACCCACAUCAGUACUUGGAUAACCAUAACUAUAUCAGGGCCUCUCCACGGCAUCCAAAGGAUUCCACGCCCUGCCGGAUCCCGAGUUUCCAGAUCUUUUAAAUAUGGUACUUGGGACAAUGGGAUUAGCUAUAAUUCCGCAUUAUGGUGGAAUGCAAAAGGUCUAUAGGUCGCUGUCGCCAAUGUAUGUAUUGGUCAAUCAUUUUAUUAAAUCAAAUCUAUCAAAUGGGCUUGUGUUCGUGUUUUUAAGACCCAUCACCAAUCAUUUUAAUAUAUAAAAGAAAAUUAUCAAGUUACAAGUAUUUUACUUUUUAAUUAGGCAUUUAGAACGACUACUGUUUUUAGUUCGUUAUUAACUCAAUAGCUCCACGGAUUGCAGUGCCAGGUUCUCUUCCUCCUGCGUCUGUAGUAGUAUCCUUCAUCGCAAUCUUCAUACCAGUAGUAUUGGCUAGAAACUACAGCAAAUAAUGCCAAAAGGACAAU
Molecule: long non-coding RNA, 2544 nt
Organism: Drosophila simulans
Lineage: Eukaryota; Metazoa; Arthropoda; Insecta; Diptera; Drosophilidae
Exons: 4
Source: RefSeq, a predicted model, not a curated record